Molecule: ribosomal RNA, 1679 nt
Filed under: Escherichia coli
Lineage: Bacteria; Pseudomonadati; Pseudomonadota; Gammaproteobacteria; Enterobacterales; Enterobacteriaceae
Description: partial 23S ribosomal RNA
Rfam family: Bacterial large subunit ribosomal RNA
Source: RNAcentral
ACGGGAGACACACGGCGGGUGCUAACGUCCGUCGUGAAGAGGGAAACAACCCAGACCGCCAGCUAAGGUCCCAAAGUCAUGGUUAAGUGGGAAACGAUGUGGGAAGGCCCAGACAGCCAGGAUGUUGGCUUAGAAGCAGCCAUCAUUUAAAGAAAGCGUAAUAGCUCACUGGUCGAGUCGGCCUGCGCGGAAGAUGUAACGGGGCUAAACCAUGCACCGAAGCUGCGGCAGCGACGCUUAUGCGUUGUUGGGUAGGGGAGCGUUCUGUAAGCCUGCGAAGGUGUGCUGUGAGGCAUGCUGGAGGUAUCAGAAGUGCGAAUGCUGACAUAAGUAACGAUAAAGCGGGUGAAAAGCCCGCUCGCCGGAAGACCAAGGGUUCCUGUCCAACGUUAAUCGGGGCAGGGUGAGUCGACCCCUAAGGCGAGGCCGAAAGGCGUAGUCGAUGGGAAACAGGUUAAUAUUCCUGUACUUGGUGUUACUGCGAAGGGGGGACGGAGAAGGCUAUGUUGGCCGGGCGACGGUUGUCCCGGUUUAAGCGUGUAGGCUGGUUUUCCAGGCAAAUCCGGAAAAUCAAGGCUGAGGCGUGAUGACGAGGCACUACGGUGCUGAAGCAACAAAUGCCCUGCUUCCAGGAAAAGCCUCUAAGCAUCAGGUAACAUCAAAUCGUACCCCAAACCGACACAGGUGGUCAGGUAGAGAAUACCAAGGCGCUUGAGAGAACUCGGGUGAAGGAACUAGGCAAAAUGGUGCCGUAACUUCGGGAGAAGGCACGCUGAUAUGUAGGUGAAGUCCCUCGCGGAUGGAGCUGAAAUCAGUCGAAGAUACCAGCUGGCUGCAACUGUUUAUUAAAAACACAGCACUGUGCAAACACGAAAGUGGACGUAUACGGUGUGACGCCUGCCCGGUGCCGGAAGGUUAAUUGAUGGGGUUAGCGCAAGCGAAGCUCUUGAUCGAAGCCCCGGUAAACGGCGGCCGUAACUAUAACGGUCCUAAGGUAGCGAAAUUCCUUGUCGGGUAAGUUCCGACCUGCACGAAUGGCGUAAUGAUGGCCAGGCUGUCUCCACCCGAGACUCAGUGAAAUUGAACUCGCUGUGAAGAUGCAGUGUACCCGCGGCAAGACGGAAAGACCCCGUGAACCUUUACUAUAGCUUGACACUGAACAUUGAGCCUUGAUGUGUAGGAUAGGUGGGAGGCUUUGAAGUGUGGACGCCAGUCUGCAUGGAGCCGACCUUGAAAUACCACCCUUUAAUGUUUGAUGUUCUAACGUUGACCCGUAAUCCGGGUUGCGGACAGUGUCUGGUGGGUAGUUUGACUGGGGCGGUCUCCUCCUAAAGAGUAACGGAGGAGCACGAAGGUUGGCUAAUCCUGGUCGGACAUCAGGAGGUUAGUGCAAUGGCAUAAGCCAGCUUGACUGCGAGCGUGACGGCGCGAGCAGGUGCGAAAGCAGGUCAUAGUGAUCCGGUGGUUCUGAAUGGAAGGGCCAUCGCUCAACGGAUAAAAGGUACUCCGGGGAUAACAGGCUGAUACCGCCCAAGAGUUCAUAUCGACGGCGGUGUUUGGCACCUCGAUGUCGGCUCAUCACAUCCUGGGGCUGAAGUAGGUCCCAAGGGUAUGGCUGUUCGCCAUUUAAAGUGGUACGCGAGCUGGGUUUAGAACGUCGUGAGACAGUUCGGUCCCUA